RNAcentral lists this ribosomal RNA (384 nucleotides) under uncultured Trichococcus sp. RNAcentral's name for it is "bacterial SSU rRNA". It matches the Rfam family "Bacterial small subunit ribosomal RNA", at positions 1118 to 1501 of the family's 1533-position model. The record is from RNAcentral. Lineage: Bacteria; Bacillati; Bacillota; Bacilli; Lactobacillales; Carnobacteriaceae.
CCAGCAUUCAGUGGGCACUUCUAAUGAGACUGCCGGGUGACAAACCGGAGGAAGGUGGGGAUGACGUCAAAUCAUCAUGCCCCUUAUGCCUUGGGCUACACACGUGCUCCAAUGGAUGGUACAACGAGCAGCAAGACCGCGAGGUCAAGCGAAUCUCUUAAAGCCAUUCUCAGUUCGGAUUGCAGGCUGCAACUCGCCUGCAUGAAGCCGGAAUCGCUAGUAAUCGCGGAUCAGCACGCCGCGGUGAAUACGUUCCCGGGUCUUGUACACACCGCCCGUCACACCACGAGAGUUUGUAACACCCGAAGUCGGUGAGGUAACCUUUUUGGAGCCAGCCGCCUAAGGUGGGACAGAUGAUUGGGGUGAAGUCGUAACAAGGUAACC